GGCCUACCAUGGUGGUAACGGGUAACGGGGUGUUAGGGCACGACACCGGAGAGGGUGCCUGAGAAACGGCUACCACAUCCAAGGAUGGCAGCAGGCGCGCAAAUUACCCAAUCCCGACACGGGGAGGUAGUGACAAUAAAUAACAAUACGGGGUUCUUUCGGAUUUCGUAAUUGGAAUGAGUACAAUUUAAAUCUCUUAACGAGGAACGAUUGGAGGGCAAGUCUGGUGCCAGCAGCCGCGGUAAUUCCAGCUCCAAUAGCGUAUAUUAAAGUUGUUGCAGUUAAAAAGCUCGUAGUUGAACUUCGGGAUUUGUCCAUUGGUCAGGCUUAACUGUCUGUACUGGUGUGACGAAUUCCAACCUUCUGAGGAAUUUUCAUGCCAUUAAGUUGGUGUGGGGUGGAAUCGGGACUGUUACUUUGAAAAAAUUAGAGUGUUUAAAGCAGGCUAACGUCUGAAUACAUUAGCAUGGAAUAACAAUAUAGGACGGCUGGUCCUAUUUUGUUGGUUUCUAGGAUCACCGUAAUGAUUAAUAGGGAUAGUUGGGGGCAUUAGUAUUCAAUUGACAGAGGUGAAAUUCUUGGAUUUAUUGAAGACUAACUACUGCGAAAGCAUUUGCCAAGGAUGUUUUCAUUAAUCAAGAACGAAAGUUAGGGGAUCGAAGACGAUCAGAUACCGUCGUAGUCUUAACCAUAAACUAUGCCGACUAGGAAUCGGACGAAGUUAAUUUUUAAAUGACUCGUUCGGCACCUUACGGGAAACCAAAGUGUUUGGGUUC
RNAcentral lists this ribosomal RNA (776 nucleotides) under uncultured Redeckera. RNAcentral's name for it is "SSU rRNA". It matches the Rfam family "Eukaryotic small subunit ribosomal RNA", at positions 338 to 1114 of the family's 1831-position model. The record is from RNAcentral. Lineage: Eukaryota; Fungi; Glomeromycota; Glomeromycetes; Diversisporales; Diversisporaceae.